This 492-nucleotide ribosomal RNA is filed under the name uncultured bacterium. RNAcentral describes it as "partial 16S ribosomal RNA". It matches the Rfam family "Bacterial small subunit ribosomal RNA", at positions 28 to 507 of the family's 1533-position model. The record is from RNAcentral.
GUUGAACGCUAGCUGCAGGCUUAACACAUGCAAGUCGAGGGGAAACGACAUCGAAAGCUUUCUUUUGAUGGGCGUCGACCGGCGCACGGGUGAGUAACGUGUAUCCAACCUGCCCAUCACUUGGGAAUAACCUUGCGAAAGUAAGACUAAUACCCAAUGAUAUCCCACGAAGGCAUCGGAAUGGGAUUAAAGAUUUAUCGGUGAUUGAUGGGGAUGCGUCUGAUUAGCUUGUUGGCGGGGGAACGGCACACCAAGGCAACGAUAAGUAGGGGUUCUGAGAGGAAGGUACCCCAGAAUUGAACUAAGGCACGGUCCAAAAUCGUAGGGGAGGCAGGAGUGAAGAAUAUUAGGCAAUGGAGGAGGACCUGACCCAGCCAAGUAGCGUACAAGAAGCCUGCCAUAUGGGUUGUAAACUGCUUUUAUAAGAGAAUAAAGUGGGUAACGCGUGACUUUUUGCAUGUACCUUAUGAAUAAGGACCGGCUAAUUCCGUG